ACGUGACACUGAAGCGCCAUGCCGGAAGCACUGGGUGUGAUGCGCCGGAACCAGUCUCCACCGUGUGGUUUGGUCUUGAUUUCCACUGCUACUCUGGGGUCUUGCUUGGAUAAGCCUCUGGACCUCGCCUUUGUCAUUUGCGAAGUGGAUAGGUUCCAAUAGAGAUUUUCCCAGAAUCAUUCAACUAAAAAUAGAGAACUUUUUUUUUGAGAGGAAGGACGGGGGCGCAGUUAAAGAUGUUAAUGUUAAGUCAUCCCUUCUGUGAUUUCGGGACAUUAUCUUUGCACGCCAUGUGAAGAUGUGCUUGCUUCCCUGUCACCUUCCACCAUGAUUGUAAGUUUCCUGAGGCCUCCCAGGAAGCAGAAGCCUGUACAGCCCACAGAACCAUGACCUGAUGAAAUCUCUUUUCUUUAUAAAUUACCCAGUCUCAGAUCUUGCUAUGCUUGUCAUUGUGUAAGCAGCAAACUUGCAGUGACCAGUUGGAUUCCACCCCCCUGAUGUUGGUGGUGUGCUCUUGGGGAGAUGUCUUCCAGACAGGCAAAGAAGAGUGACAUCAUCAGAGCAUGGAUGACCUCAAAGAUAUUACAGCUAUGCUCCAGAGAGAGCCAUCCUGAUGGAAACUACUGAACAUGGGGACACAAAAGAAAAGAGGGAGGAGAUGAAAGAAGGUGAGGGUCUCUAUUGCCAGCAGAACUGGACUGUGUGUUUAACUGGAAAGCUGAUGGGAAAUGUAGUUAUGCACAGCUCUCUGGACCCUUCUAGUGAAAUAAAGAACUAGUUAAAUAAGGCAAGACAGAAGAAUGAGGCUGCCAUCUAGAGGUAGUAACAGGUAAUGUUCCAGGGCACAAGGGAGCCAAAGGCAGAGAGUUUCUUCACUUUUUAUUCUCUGCAGUCUUCAUACCUAAUAAUGAUCUCAUUCCUCUAUAUUAGUCAAGAUCUUCCCAUUAUAAGUGACGAAUUAUAACCAGAUUAAACCAAAAAGUAAAAUAAUUCAUUGACUGAUUGAUAUGGUUUGGAUUUGUGUCCCCGCCCAAAUCUCAUGUAGAAUUGUAAUCCCCGGUGCCAAUUGGAGGUGGGUCCUGGUGGGAAGUGAUGGGAUCAUGUGGGCGGUUUCUCAUGGUGUAACGCAAUCCACUUUGGUGCUGUCGUCGCGAUGGUGAGUCCUCAUGAGAUCUGGUUGUUUCAAGGUGUGUGGCACCUCACCUCUCUCUCUCUCUCUCUUGCUCCUGCUCCCACCACGUGAGGCACCUCUCUCCCCCUUUGCCUUCUGCCAUGAUUGGAAACUUCCUGAGGCCUCCCCAGAAGCAGAAGCCCCUAUGCUUCCUGCACAGCCUGCAGAACCAGGAAACAAAAGGAGGGUGUUAGAGGAAAAAGAGGGAAACCCACUGACAGAGAGGAAAGCUGAAGAGAUCCCACCACUGACUUGGACUAAGGAGAGAGAAGUCAAAGAGUAGUUACCUGGAUGAGGUGGCUGAAUAUGGGCGUGCUCUUGUCACUUUGGAUGUCACAACUAGCCUUGAGAAGAGCUGCUGUUCCAGGAGUCUGUCACAACUAGCCUUGAGAAGAGCUGCUGUUCCAGGAGUCUGUCACAACUAGCCUUGAGAAGAGCUGCUGUUCCAGGAGUCUGUAGCCAAGGACGUACAGCAGUGGAGGCUGACUCAUUGCAUAGCUGAGUGACCAAUUGCUUGGCAUGAGUUUACUUUAAUGGCUGUUUCUGAGUUUGAUCCCUCUCUGGAACCAACCCCUCUGAUGUGUCCUGUUCCAGCAGGAAGAGACAGACCUGGAGGUUCCGUACUUGUGAUUUCUGGUUGUGGAUCCUGAGAACAAGAAGUACUGGGAUCCUAAAGUUCUGACAUUUGCAAAGCAGAUUAAUGACCUACCACAUUCCAGAUCAUUUGGUGAUUUUGUGUGUGCGUGUGGGUGUGUGUGUGUGUGUGCCAAAUUCAAGGUGGUCCCAGCCUUUCUAGUCUUCUCUAACCCUUCUUCUCAGAAGUCGCACCUGUUCUGUCUUUCUAGGAUAUAAUUUUUUUUCUAUUAGCCUGGGUAACACCCCAACCAAUAAAGUUUGCAAUAUCCAAGCC
This 2081-nucleotide non-coding RNA is filed under the name Pan troglodytes (chimpanzee). The record is from RNAcentral. Lineage: Eukaryota; Metazoa; Chordata; Mammalia; Primates; Hominidae.